This 394-nucleotide ribosomal RNA is filed under the name uncultured bacterium. RNAcentral describes it as "partial 16S ribosomal RNA". It matches the Rfam family "Bacterial small subunit ribosomal RNA", at positions 338 to 730 of the family's 1533-position model. The record is from RNAcentral.
CCUACGGGAGACAGCAGUGAGGAAUAUUGGUCAAUGGGAGCGAUCCUGAACCAGCCAAGCCGCGUGAGGGAAGACGGCUCUAUGGGUUGUAAACCUCUUUUGUCGGAGGACAAAACCCGGUACGGGUCCCGGACUGAGAGUAUCCGAAGAAAAAGAAUCGGCUAACUCCGUGCCAGCAGCCGCGGUAAUACGGAGGAUGCGAGCGUUAUCCGGCUUUAUUGGGUUGAAAGGGUUCGUAGGCGGUCCGUUAAGUCAGCGGUAAAAUUGCGGGGCUCAACUCCGUCGUGCCGUGGAGACUGGCAGACUUGAGAGGGCGUGAGGUACGCGGAAUGCGUGGUGUAGCGGUGAAAUGCAUAGAUAUCGCACAGAACUCCGAUUGCGAAGGCAGCGUACC